This 397-nucleotide ribosomal RNA is filed under the name uncultured beta proteobacterium. RNAcentral's name for it is "bacterial SSU rRNA". It matches the Rfam family "Bacterial small subunit ribosomal RNA", at positions 114 to 507 of the family's 1533-position model. The record is from RNAcentral. Lineage: Bacteria; Pseudomonadati; Pseudomonadota; Betaproteobacteria.
UGCGUCGGAACGUGCCGAGUAGUGGGGGAUAACACAGCGAAAGUUGUGCUAAUACCGCAUACGUACUGAGGUAGAAAGUGGGGGACCUUCGGGCCUCACGCUAUUCGAGCGGCCGACGUCUGAUUAGCUAGUAGGUGAGGUAAAGGCUCACCUAGGCGACGAUCAGUAGCGGGUCUGAGAGGAUGAUCCGCCACACUGGGACUGAGACACGGCCCAGACUCCUACGGGAGGCAGCAGUGGGGAAUUUUGGACAAUGGGCGAAAGCCUGAUCCAGCCAUGCCGCGUGUCUGAAGAAGGCCUUCGGGUUGUAAAGGACUUUUGUCAGGGAGGAAAUCCCUAGCGUUAAUACCGCUGGGGGAUGACAGUACCUGAAGAAUAAGCACCGGCUAACUACGUG